UGGCUUUUAAAUGGAGUCAGGUAUGAAUGGAAUCACGGAGUUUAACUGUCUCUGAACUAUUUUAUAGAAAUUACUUUAUAGGUGAAAAAGCCUAUAUUAGGAUAAAGGACGAGAAGACCCUUAGAGUUUUAUUUAAUGUGAAUUAUAUAUUUAUAACAAUUUAGUUGGGGCAACAUAAGAACAGAUAAAAUGUAACUUCUUGAAAUUUAUUUAUCGAUUUUUAUAAAUAUGAAUAAACUACCUUAGGGAUAACAGCAUAAUUUAAUAUAUAAGUUUGUGACCUCGAUGUUGGACUAGGGAACUAAUAGGCUAGCCGCUUAUUAGAAAGGUUCUGUUCGAACUAUAAAU
RNAcentral lists this ribosomal RNA (348 nucleotides) under Phyllidiella pustulosa. Its description in RNAcentral is "partial large subunit ribosomal RNA". The record is from RNAcentral. Lineage: Eukaryota; Metazoa; Mollusca; Gastropoda; Nudibranchia; Phyllidiidae.